GGGUCAGUAGGUUGGUCGUGCCACCGGUACGUACUGGUCUCACUUAUUCCUCCUUCCUGAAGAACCGUAAUGCCAUUAAUUUGGUGUUGCGGGGAAACAGGACUGUUACUUUGAAAAAAUUAGAGUGUUUAAAGCAAGCUAACGCUUGAAUACAUUAGCAUGGAAUAAUAAAAUAGGACGAUCGAUCCUAUUUUGUUGGUUUCUAGGAUUGACGUA
Molecule: ribosomal RNA, 216 nt
Filed under: Glomeromycotina sp.
Lineage: Eukaryota; Fungi; Glomeromycota
Description: partial small subunit ribosomal RNA
Rfam family: Eukaryotic small subunit ribosomal RNA (bases 40-216)
Source: RNAcentral